Molecule: ribosomal RNA, 301 nt
Filed under: uncultured bacterium
Lineage: Bacteria
Description: partial 16S ribosomal RNA
Rfam family: Bacterial small subunit ribosomal RNA
Source: RNAcentral
CAGUAGCCGCGGGAAUACAGAGGGUGCGAGCGUUAAUCGGAUUUACUGGGCGUAAAGCGUGCGUAGGCGGCUUUUUAAGUCGGAUGUGAAAUCCCUGAGCUUAACUUAGGAAUUGCAUUUGAUACUGGGAAGCUAGAGUAUGGGAGAGGAUGGUAGAAUUCCAGGUGUAGCGGUGAAAUGCGUAGAGAUCUGGAGGAAUACCGAUGGCGAAGGCAGCCAUCUGGCCUAAUACUGACGCUGAGGUACGAAAGCAUGGGGAGCAAACAGGAUUAGAUACCCGCGUAGUCCCUGUCUCUUAUAC